CUACGGGACGCACCAGUGGGGAAUCUUGGACAAUGGGCGCAAGCCUGAUCCAGCCAUGCCGCGUGAGUGAAGAAGGCCUUAGGGUCGUAAAGCUCUUUCGCCAGAGAUGAUAAUGACAGUAUCUGGUAAAGAAACCUCGGCGUAACUCCGUGCCAGCAGCCGCGGUAAUACGGAGGGGGUUAGCGUUGUUCGGAAUUACUGGGCGUAAAGCGCGCGUAGGCGGAUUAGUCAGUCAGAGGUGAAAUCCCAGGGCUCAACCCGGGAACUGCCUUUGAUACUGCUAGUCUUGAGUUCGAGAGAGGUGAGUGGAAUUCCGAGUGUAGAGGUGAAAUUCGUAGAUAUUCGGAGGAACACCAGUGGCGAAGGCGGCUCACUGGCUCGAUACUGACGCUGAGGUGCGAAAGUGUGGGGAGCAAACAGGAUUAGAUACCCCCGUAGUC
RNAcentral lists this ribosomal RNA (440 nucleotides) under uncultured bacterium. RNAcentral describes it as "partial 16S ribosomal RNA". It matches the Rfam family "Bacterial small subunit ribosomal RNA", at positions 339 to 795 of the family's 1533-position model. The record is from RNAcentral.